RNAcentral lists this transfer-messenger RNA (386 nucleotides) under Patescibacteria group. Its description in RNAcentral is "2-01-FULL-52-15 sp001818365 Standard tmRNA". It matches the Rfam family "transfer-messenger RNA". From Rfam's summary of the family: Bacterial tmRNA, also known as 10Sa RNA or SsrA, is named for its dual tRNA and mRNA-like properties. The record is from RNAcentral. RNAcentral also lists the same sequence under 2 other names.
GGGGAUGUUUCAAAGUUGAUGGCACGUACCAAACGAGAACAGCACGCCUAGUACCAGAGCUAGUCAAAGCUGGACUGCAGAAAUGCAAAGAACUUAGUUGCGAAAGUUGCAAACCUUUUCAAGGUUCCAGCGUUCGCAUCCGUUGUUGCAUAAUAGUGUAACAACCGCUCCUCCGUCCGCGUCCGACGGCCGGAACGGGUGUCAUCUUUCGGACCCGAUCGCAUGUUUCGCCACAUGAGCGUGCGCAUCGGUACUUUCAGUGGCUCGGAUAACGGCGCCGGUCAGUGGGCUCAAUCGUUGUCUUAAAUCAAUGCGCUGACUACGCGUUGUAGACGUUUUCGCACGGUCGUUGCCAGACAGGGGUGCGAUGCCCCUCAUCUCCACCA